Molecule: long non-coding RNA, 558 nt
Organism: Drosophila santomea
Lineage: Eukaryota; Metazoa; Arthropoda; Insecta; Diptera; Drosophilidae
Exons: 2
Source: RefSeq, a predicted model, not a curated record
AAGCCCAGCAGACCAGUUUUUUCGGAACGGGGAGGAAUAUGUGUAUAAAUAUAAAUAUGUAUAUUCCGGGGGUAACGAAAGCGUAGCUGAUUUUGUUGUAUUAUAAACACAAAUAAAUAAAGGACGCGACGGCUGUUUGGGCAGGAUGUGCGAUCGCGAAUGAGGCAAACGAGGCAGAAACACGAAAUCGUCCUUCGUCCUUCAUCCUUCAUCCUUCAUCCUGCGGCUGCGGCGGCUGGCUGCCAACAAUGGCUGCGAUGACAGCCCAGCCUAAAUGCCGGGCUGGAAAAUACAUACAUAUAUUCAAAGGGUGCCCGGGAUGCACAGGACUCGCAGGAUAGCCGCACACACAGACGCGGUGCUCCGAGCUCCGAGCAUCGGGCAUCGGGCAUCGGAUCCAUCAGGCAUUGGAAACCACCACCUUUGCACCACCUUUGCACCACCCUGGCCACAGUUGCCAUUGUUCACCCAUAUGUUAAGACGUGCUAAAUAUGGGAGUGUCCUUGUCAUUUAUAUGUCGCAAUGUCGCCCGCUCCAGAUUACGCACUCUAUGCACGG